UUCAGCAGAAGCAGCCUCAGGGCAUUGAACACAGACUGAAUGACUCAGUGACGCUUGGAUCAGGUCAGAUCAAAUUCUCAAGCAAACAGAUGGCUGGGGAUAUUCAGUAACAACGGUGAGGAGAGAGAGGAACAAUUCACAUUUCAAGGGACCCUUACUCAAAACGGUCUGUUCUGAAGGAGCUUUCCCGCAGAAAUCACUGGAUUGAAAGGUCUCCAGCGGGUCCGUACAGAUUGGUUUUAGUGUUGAAUUCUCAAGCUUGCUCUGUUCAAGGGAUUGAACCCCUCGGCUACAAAGGGGGGUCAGUUACCUCAGCUAACAGCUUCUGGCAACAAAUGGCCACAAACCGAUCAAAGGUGAAAGUGACGGUGAACCAGACAGAGCAGUCAGUGGCUGCAUAAAGCAGGACGGCGUGGAUAUUACACACGGGGACGGAGACCCUCAGGAAAUAAAACUGUUCCCAUAAACAAUGGGAAUGUGUCUCAGGAUCAGGUCGAGGAUAAUGACCAGGAGAUCCGCCGCUGCCAUGGCCCCCAGCUUUGGGAGGAAACGGGAGAAUCCAUCAGAAACUCACGUAGACAAGGGGAGAAGAUGCAAACUCAUGCAGAUAGUCGCCCGAGGCUGGAAUUGAACUCAUGUCCCUGAUGCUGUGAUGGAACAGUGCGAACUACUGAGCCACUGUGCUAACCUGGGACCUCCUGCCAGCCUAAUGCAAAGGGAAUUCAGCCAAAUCUAACUCUCCCAGGAGUAGAAUACCUUCAGAAGCAGAAUAACAUUUUGGACAAUCUCUCAAUUUUUCGUUUUUGUCAUUAGUUACAUUAAUAUUUGGACAAGGUUCUUUCAAUGUGAAAUUUCAGAGAUUUUGUUUGUGUGUGUGUGUGUGUGUGUGUGUGUGUGUGUGUGUGUGUGUGUGUGUGUGUGUGUCAGUGUUUUUAGAACGGGAAAUAUCGAUUCUUUAUUUGCAAACAGUUUGCCAUUCAGCAUUCCAUCAUAGUUGGAGUAAUGUUGCUCUGGAUCAUAAACGUGCUAUUUGAACAGAUUAAAGAAACUAGCCUGACUUGGUCCUAAAACUGACCCUGACCCAGUCUGAGACUGAUAUCAUCGGCCAUAUCACCGACCUGGUUACAUUUAACAUUUGUUGUGAGCAGUGGAGGAGUGGGACGAGAAAUGGGAUUGGUGAGCCUGAUGUCGGUGGUGGGUGAGCUGUUGGAGGUGAUUCUGAGGGAUAGCAUUUACAUACAUUUGGGAAGGUAAGGGCUGAUCGGAGUAGACAACAUGGCUUUCUGCAUGGGAAAUCAUGUCUCAUUAAUUUGAUUGAAUUUUAUGAAGAGGUAACAAAGAAGAUUGAUGAGGGCAGUUUGGUAGACAUUGUCUAUAUGGACCUCAGCAAGGUGUUCAUGACAUUCCGAUUGGUAGGCAGAUUAGUAAGGUUCGGUCACAUGGGAUACAGAAGAAGCGAGUCACAGUUGGCUUGAAGGGAGAGGGGUAUUUUUCAGACUGGAAGCUUGUGAGCAGACAUUAUACACUUAAUGGUAAGGGCCUGGUGAGUGUUGUGAAACAAAUGGACUUAGGGCUGCAGGUGCAUUGUUCCUUGAAAGUGGAGUCAAAUGCAGACAGUGCGGUACAGAACACGUUUUACAAAUUUGCCUUAAUCAGUCAGAGCAUUGAGUAUAGGGGUCGUGGUGGCAUGUUGUAUCUGUACAGGAUGUUGGUGAGGCCACUUUAAGAAUACUGCGUACAACUUGGUUGUCAGCUGAAAAGAUUUACACGGAUGUCCCAGGACUGGAGGUUUGAACUUUAGGGAGAGGUUGAUUAGUUUGAGGUGUUUCCCCCUGGAGUGUCAGAGGCUGAAGGGUGACAUUAUAGAGGUUUAUAAAAUCAUCAGGGGCAUAGAUAUUCUGAACAGCCAUGUUCCGCUCCCCAGGUAGGGGAGUCCAGAACAGGAGAGCACAUGUUGAAGGGGAGAGGGCGAAUAAUUUAGAAGGGACCUGAAGAUAAAUGUUUCACACACAGAGUGGUGGGUGUACAGAAAGUGCUGUCAGAGGAAGUGGUGAAGGCGGUUACAAUUGCACAUUUAAAAGUAUCUGAAAGAGGAGGGAUAUUGGCCAAAUGCUGGCAAAUGGGACUGGAUCAGGCUUGAUAUCUGAUCGGAGUGAACAGAUUGGACUAACGGGUCUAUUUCUAUUCUGCAUGACUCUCUGAUUCUAUAAGAGGGAUGACAAAAAAUUCUGAAAUUACCUUUCAAAUCCGAAUCCUCUUCACUGGAAGUUUCUCGUGCCUCUCUGUUCACAUUGAUUGACAGUUGGGUUACUGAAAUAUUUGACAGAAAACUGAGUCAUGGAUAAUGGGACACAGACAGGAAAGUGGGGCUGAGACCACAACCUGAUCAGCCAUAAUCUUAGUGCCUGGUGGAGAAGGUUCAAAAUGUUUAAUGACUCACUCCUGUCCCUCAAUCCCAUGUUCCUGUGUUCCAUUCAGCCCAUUAAACCUGUUAGGCAGGAUCAUUUAGAGGCUACUUACUUCUAUAACCUGGUGCACAGAAACAGAGGAGAUCAUUCGGCCCUUCAAGUCUGUCCCACAUACUUUGAGGUGAUUUGAGAAAUGUAAUUGUAAAACCCAGGCUGGGUAUGAAAGAGGCCCCUCAUCUCUCUUUACAGAGCUUCCCCUCUCUGAAACUUGUGCUCCAUUUGUUGGUCAUGUUGUAGACUCUAAUUCACUGUGAAUACAGACCCAUACCUCACCCAGAGAUGGCUCACAAAAUCCUCUGGUCUCCCUGACGGCAACAUUCAAUACCAGAACAUUCAUGAAAACUACACCCACUAACUUUCCAAUAACACAAUGCGAGGACAUCAGACAAUGUUCAGAAUAAUUUGACGCCCCCAUCAGCUUCUGAACUGGACUGUGUCCAUGUGCAGCAAAACAUGGACUCCAUUGAGGCUUGUGCUUUUAAAGAGUCCGUAACAUUCAUAUAGAGGACUGUCUGACACUGCACAUUGCCGCAGUAAAAUAAGAGUUCAUUCCGCACCUCACACUGGUUUCACAGGAAUAUGAGGAAGUCGGUCAGCCCAUUGACACUAUUAGAGAAGAACAGGGACAGCCCAUUCAGUGCCUCCAACAUAUUACUCAGGAAGAGAAGGAUUCUAGUGUGAUGGGCCACACCAAAGCCCCUCGAUAAUAUUUGAAGGUGGUAGCCUAGACUCUACUAUUUUCUUAUUUUAAAGAAAAUAUAAAGUGUCUGUUCCAGAUGCAAUGUGACUGGUCAAGCAACACGGUGUGAAGCAAAACACCAUUUACUUAAACACGAUAAAUAAAAUAAAACCAAAGGAAGAGCAAUCUAGAAUAAUGUAAUUAUAUUGGACAAGUUAACAGAAUAAGAGAUCUAGGAACUAUCACUAAUGAACUGUUCCAAUACUGGAAAAUCACAUGGACACAGCCCUUGGCAAAAAAGGAAUAUUCAGACACUGAAUGACACAAAUAUUUCUCCAAUUCAGGAUUUAAAAACAGCACCAAGAGAAAAUUCAUACAGAGUAGCUGCCAGGAGACAUUCACUAAAGUUUUCAACUCGGUGGAGACCCCAAUAAUUUCUGAUGUUACUGAGAAACCAAAACCCAGAAAUCCUAAUCGGUGAGAGCUGACCACACCCAUUCCAUCUGCAUUAAAAUAAACCCAAGGCUUCGCUAACUGUUACGCAAGUGGUCCUAACUAGCCAGCUUGGUAACGGUCAUUCAAUCUCUCUCGUAAAAGAAACCAGAACAAAAUAACCUCUAAAAGCUACAGCAUCAUCACACUAGUCAGCACAUCGAGCUGUCAUACAGGAACCAGGGGUAACCCAAUCAGGCCCUUGGCCCUGUCCAAUCGGACGAGGAAGAAGCCAGUCAGUCCCUUGAGUCACUUACACAGGAACAGUAGGAGGCCAUUCCCACCUCAAUGCACUUACACAGGGGCAGAAUGAGCUAAUUGAUGCUGAUUCCUGAUGAAUGGCUUAUGCUCGAAACGUCGAUUCUCCUGCUGUGCUUUUCCACCAAACCACUGUCUACUCUGUUCUUCAGCAUCAACAGUCCUCACUGUCUCCUAACUGAUGCUCUAACAUGGUGACCAGGUGGAGCAGAGGCUGCACAGACAGACUGCUCCACGUUGUUCCUCGUAGCUCCGUCAGUCAUGAUACACACGUGGGACUUUAACACGGUUUUCUAGUGGUGAGGAGGGAAGCCAUAUGUCUUGUGUGAAGUCACAAGAAGGCAGCUUCCAUCUCCGAGAAGCCAGCCUGGUGUUCUCUAUGUAGGGUGGAAGCUAGUGGGAAUGGCUACCUGUUUCAGAUGGAAGGUAUUGUGGCUGCUGUUGGGGAUUGUGAGGAACAUAACGUUCAGUAUGGGUUCACACGCCGACUGCACAAUAACGUGGGGAGAGUUAAUUUAGGCAUAUAAACUAUUAGGAAAGUCAGGUUAGACUGAUGAAUGGACUCUCUAAGAUCAAAUAAUGCUGAUCUUGUUGAUGUUGAUCUUGUCUAGUGCACGUCCUGUUCAGUGUAACCUGUAUGCCUUACUCUGUCCAAGCCUAUUUCCAUCCUAUGAUCUGUCUGGCCUUGCUUACUAUGAUCUGCCUCCACUGCUAAUAAAUAAAGUGUUUCCCUGUACUGAGUUACCCGUGGCAAUAAAUCAAACCAAUAACUCCUGGGUAAAGUAUGGAAUGUCUGUUUUGGAAAUAAGAGACCCCUGCCACUCCGCAUGUUUCAGCAUCACCAUUUCUUCGUCUCUCACACUCUACAGGUUAAACACUCAGCUUCCUCACUCUAUCCUCAUGUUACCAUCAUCCGUAUCUGUGGUACGGGAAUCCUUCCUUACAAAGGGCAUCAAAUCCGUACAGAGUGCCCCAAAUACUCUCUCAGCAAGGUUCUACAACAGCUGAAAGAUGGCUUUACUUAUGUACUCGAAUCAUCUUACAAUGAAGGACAGCAUGCCAUCGACUGCACCCAUUACUUACACAGGGUUUGAUUCAGAGCAGUCAGCAUAGACAGCAUAGAUCAUGCUUCCCAAAUUUCUUAGAGGCCUUUGAUGAGGUUUGAUAAGUUUCCACAUGGCAGGCUGCUCAGGAAGGUUCCAAAACGUAGAAUGCGUGGGAACUGUCCAAUUGGAUACACAGUUGGCUUGAUGGUAGGAAGGGGAGGGUUUAGUGGAAAGAUGCUUGUCAGACUGGAGGCUGGGUCCAUUGCUGUUUGUUAUCUAUGAUCUGGUUGAGAAUGUACAAGGCAUGAUUAGUAAGUUUGCAGAUGUCACUAAAGUAAGUGGGAGCAUGAUCAGUGAGGAAGUUUAUCAGAAUUUGCAGCAGGACCUUAAUCAGUUGGGGAAAUGGGCCGACAAAUGGAAUUUAAUAUAGAAGCGUGAGGUCUUGCAUUUUGGAAAUUCAAAUCAAGGUAGGAGUUUCAUGGUGAAUGGGAGGGCCUUAAGGGGUGCAGGGGGCAGAGAGAUCUUGGUGCUCAGGUGCACGGUUCCCUGAGAGUGGAGUCACAGGUAGACAGGGCAGUGAAUAAGGCAUUUGGCACAAUGGCCUUCAUCAGGCAGGAUAUUGAGUAUAGAAGAUGGGAAUUUAUGCUGCAGUUAUACAGGACUUCGUUAAGGCCGCACUUGGAGUAUUGUGUUCAGGUUUUGUCGCUUUGUUUAAGGUAGGAUGUUAUUAAAGUAGAAAGAAUACAGAAGAAAUUUACAAGGAUGUUGCCAGGACCCAAUGAUCUGAGUUAUAGGGAGAGGUUGGACAAGAUAGGACAUUUUCUUUAGCGUGUAGGAGACUGGGGGAGUUGUUAUAGAGCUGUAUAAAAUCACGAGGGGUAUGGAUAGGGUUAAUGCUCUCAGUCUUUUUCCAAGGUGUAGAGAAUCGAGGACGAGAGAGGAUCAGUUUAACGUUAGAAGGAAAGGAAUAAAAGGGAACCUAAGGGGCCACUUCUUUCCACAGAGGCUGGUACGUGGAUGAGCUACUCGCAGAUGUAGUUGAGGGGGGUAAAUUAACAACAUUUCAAAAGCAUUUGGAUAAAUAUCUGUAUAGGAAAGGACUGGAAGGAUAUGGGCCAACUGCAGGGAAAUGGGGUGAGCGGGGAUGGACAUUUACAAGGUGGAGUCGAACCCCUCUGUUAAUUAAAACCAAACACCCAGAAAAGCUCACCUCACCUCGUAAUCUGUUAAAAUAUGAGCGACACAGACCUCCUUUUAAACAAAACUUAACAAGUUAGUUUCUUAACCUUAAUAGUGAACACUAAACAACAACAAUUCACAAAUGCAAGUCCCUCUUCUUAGCUACUUACUAUCUGACUCGAACUCUGUAAAAAUAUGCUGUUCCAACAACCCACAUAUUAAACAUUACAAUCCCAUGACCAUACAGUCUCUAUCUUCCCCGUUGUCUUCACUCUUUCAGCUGCAUCUCCCCGGGUCAUCUUUUUAUUGCAAGUAGGUUUGACAUGAACAUGUGUCUUUGAGAGAGUGUGUUUGAGAUGGUCAGUUAGCACUCCUGCUCGACAGCAGUUGCUCUCCUGUUGGAUGGCAGUAGCUCUCCCUCCAGUGUUCAAAAUGCUGGGUUUAUAUACUCCCCAUGAUAUAAUAAUUAUCAUAAUUUGAUUGCUUUCCAGGUGUCCAAACAAUAAUAUUCAAAUUCUGUUGGCAUCUGUUAUCCUGAGCGUUAUUUAAACUCUUUAGUUACAUUUGAAUGGCUAUCAAAACAGCAAGCAAAACUCAGGAAUCCAUUUCUCAGCUAAUGGUGACAUGUGGAACAGUGUGACCUUCAGCUGGCAUCUGUGGCUUUAAUUUCUAUUCAGCAAAACCCGAUCUGUUUUAAAGUGUCCAUAUAUGUUUUUGUCUUCAUAACAUCUCCCCGCUUCAGAAAAUAAAAUGAACUAGCAGAAUGAAAAGAUGGCUACAUUUGUUU
This is a long non-coding RNA of Hemiscyllium ocellatum (epaulette shark), 6909 nucleotides long. RefSeq lists it as uncharacterized. The record is from RefSeq and is a predicted model, not a curated record. Lineage: Eukaryota; Metazoa; Chordata; Chondrichthyes; Orectolobiformes; Hemiscylliidae. The transcript is spliced from 4 exons.